ACUGCCCCCAGAGGCAUUGCAGGUAUGGCUGCUUUUGUGUCACAUCCGUGUCUGUAGGUGGCAGAAAGAAGAGAAGCUUAUCUUAUGCCCAGUGUUCUGGCUAGUGAACAUUUAAAUUAUUAAUAUUUUGAUGCU
This is a small nucleolar RNA of Suricata suricatta (meerkat), 135 nucleotides long. Lineage: Eukaryota; Metazoa; Chordata; Mammalia; Carnivora; Herpestidae. The record is from Ensembl.